AAGGGCACCACAAGAACGCGUGGAGCAUGUGGCUUAAUUUGACUCAACGCGGGAAAUCUUACCGGGUCCGGACACACUGAGGAUUGACAGGUAACAUCUCUCUAUAUGUUCGCAUAUAGUGAGUAUAAAUAUGCUAGUCCUUUCAUGAUUAUGUGAUAGGUGGUGCAUGGCCGUUCUUAGUUCGUGGAGUGAUCUGUCUGCUUAAUUGCGUUUCACUAUUGGGUCUAUAUAUACGUAUAUGUGUUGCGGCUUUGACCCCUCUAUAUCUGUUCACGCAGAUACUGAGUGCGCGUCUUACGCUUUGCUCACUAUACCUUAGACCCUGAAAGCAACGAACGUGACCGCAACCUCUUGUUGCUUUCAUCACACAUGCAUAAUAUAUAUAUCUUACGCUUCGGCGUAUAUAUUUUGUUAUGCUACGAAAGCUUGUCAUUCGUGACUACAUAAACUAGAGGGACCGCUGUUACUUUCUUAAACCAGAGGAAGGUUGCGGCAAUAACAGGUCUGUGAUGCCCUUAGAUGUUCCGGGCUGCACACGUGCUACAAUGAUUAUUGCAGUGAGCAUCUCAUUUUAUUACUACACCGCACGUGCGAGUCUAUAUUUAUUUCAUACGCUUCGGCUGUGUCGUAAAUAUCAGAUCUCUGCACGCGGUAAAGCCUACUUCGAAAGUAAGCGGGUAAUCAAUUAGAAGUAAUGAUUUCCUACAUACACACGAUUUCGAUCGUAUACUGCGCACAUACAUGUGGCGUAUAUACCCGGCAUACCUUGUUGUAUGUUCUUUGUGCGUAUAUAUGUAUUUUUCCACGUGCGCAAUUGUCAAUUCAUGGUGGGGACAGACCAUUGUUUCAAUUGUUGGUCUCGGUCUUAACUAGGAACGCCUUGUACGGGUCUUUGGUUCAACAAACCACCCGGAAUACGUCCCUGCCCUUUGUACACACCGCCCGUCGCUCUUACCGAUGGACUUCUCUGUGAGUUUGAGGGACUGUACUUUCACACUAUCACUAGUGUGAAUAUUAGGAAACUUAAACGAACAGUGUGGUCUAAAGGAAAGAGAAGUCGUAACAAGGCAUCAGUAGGUGAACCUGCAGAAGGAUCA
Molecule: ribosomal RNA, 1097 nt
Filed under: Saidovina sp. FF410
Lineage: Eukaryota; Foraminifera; Rotaliida; Bolivinitidae
Description: bacterial SSU rRNA
Rfam family: Eukaryotic small subunit ribosomal RNA
Source: RNAcentral